RNAcentral lists this ribosomal RNA (446 nucleotides) under uncultured bacterium. Its description in RNAcentral is "partial 16S ribosomal RNA". It matches the Rfam family "Bacterial small subunit ribosomal RNA", at positions 338 to 795 of the family's 1533-position model. The record is from RNAcentral.
CCUACGGGUGACAGCAGUCGAGAAUCAUUCACAAUGGGGGAAACCCUGAUGGUGCGACGCCGCGUGGGGGAAUGAAGGUCUUCGGAUUGUAAACCCCUGUCAUGUGGGAGCAAAUUAAAAAGAUAGUACCACAAGAGGAAGAGACGGCUAACGCUGUGCCAGCAGCCGCGGUAAUACAGAGGUCUCAAGCGUUGUUCGGAAUCACUGGGCGUAAGGCGUGCGUAGGCUGUUUCGUAAGUCGUGUGUGAAAGGCGCGGGCUCAACCCGCGGACGGCACAUGAUACUGCGAGACUAGAGUAAUGGAGGGGGAAGCGGAAUUCUCGGUGUAGCAGUGAAAUGCGUAGAUAUCGAGAGGAACACUCGUGGCGAAGGCGGGUUCCUGGACAUUAACUGACGCUGAGGCACGAAGGCCAGGGGAGCGAAAGGGAUUAGAUACCCUGGUAGUC